CCAAAUGGGGGAGGGCAGCAACGGAACGAGAACUUCUUGUGUUUCUUCACCUCAUUGGCAUCUUGAUCUUUUGUUGUAACGAAGAAGGAAGAGCACCCAAAGGCAUGGUUACAUGGCCUAUGCACAUCUCCAACCAACAGAGAAGACAAACAUUCUUCUUUAACCUUGGAAAUCAUUGAAGAAUCCUAGAACAUGCCGCCAGCCCCCAACCCCAAUCUCUAUUGUCGCAACCCGCCACCACACACACAAAGCCAUAGUUAUCGAUCUUCUAACCAAAAGAACCCUAUUUCCCAGCUGAAAACACCCGAGAAAAUGACCACAACUCCGGCGAGCUCGUUGGAAAACACAAUGACUACAGACAGUCGCACCUCCAUCAGCCCCAAUCCACAGCCGUUGCCGCCAGUUUCAAUAUCUCCAAGCCCAUGACCCAACAGCCACCCCCGACUCAUAAAAAAACAAGAACAGUUUCUUCUUCUUCAACCUUAAACCUCUAACCUAGACCCACAAAACUUCAGCGAUAAUCCUCAUCCAUUAUACCCACGCCAUUAACUCACAACUUUCAAUACUCAGCUGAAAAUCACCUGUCAAAAAAUUUAAAAAAAAAAACUCAAGGCAAAAUGAGCCCUGAAAACAAAAAUAAUGAUCAUAGGAACAUGCCAAACGAGAAGAAGUUCCUUCGUGUUUGAUUCUGGUUUCAAGAUUCGAAAAAAAUAAAAAAAACAUGUGGAGAACUAGUGUUUAGGAGGUUUCAAAUUUUAAAUCAAAGGUGUUAUGUUACUUCUAUUUCAAUUUAGAGUUUUUCUUUCACGAUGGAGAUCAACCAGAGCGUGGGUGCGUUCGAGGUUCGGGUUGAGUUCCUGUUUGCGGAUUUCAUUUUCCGGUUGAAGACUUUGUUCCUUCUAGUAGAACAACCAUAUUUUCUAAGAUAACACAUGUCAAUUUUUCUC
This 947-nucleotide long non-coding RNA is filed under the name Nicotiana benthamiana. RNAcentral describes it as "long non-coding RNA (NBEN_LNC027284)". Lineage: Eukaryota; Viridiplantae; Streptophyta; Magnoliopsida; Solanales; Solanaceae. The record is from RNAcentral.